RNAcentral lists this long non-coding RNA (420 nucleotides) under Ananas comosus (pineapple). RNAcentral describes it as "long non-coding RNA (ACOM_LNC025865)". The record is from RNAcentral. Lineage: Eukaryota; Viridiplantae; Streptophyta; Magnoliopsida; Poales; Bromeliaceae.
UUUAUAAUUUUAAUGGUCGAUAAGAGGCGUUUUCUCGUUUAAUGGCGUAAAGAUAUCCAAAUCAAUUGAAUUUUUGUCAUAAAAUUCUUUAAACUAUUUAAAACAAGAUCUAUACUCUUGAUCUUGAUUACAAGACUCUUAUCAUCAUUUUUUAAAGAGUAUUCAUUUUCAGCCAUUCAUUUUUCUGUUCACUUGAUGGAUAAAAAAACAAUAUCAAAAGUGCAUGAAAUUUGAUUUCUAGGUAGUUUAAAUGGUUUAUAUCAUAUUUAACGGAGCCGAUCGUCAAUUUGGAAGCUCUAUCAUCGAAAACAAAUCGAUAGUAAAACGGCUCAUUUACUACCGAUAGUAUUCUAGCUCAACUCAUAUAUACAUAUAUAUUAAAUGUGGUGUAUGAGUGGUAUAUGGGUACAGCAUGUGUAG